RNAcentral lists this ribosomal RNA (254 nucleotides) under uncultured bacterium. RNAcentral describes it as "partial 16S ribosomal RNA". It matches the Rfam family "Bacterial small subunit ribosomal RNA", at positions 524 to 776 of the family's 1533-position model. The record is from RNAcentral.
UACGUAGGGGGCAAGCGUUGUCCGGAUUUAUUGGGCGUAAAGAGCUCGUAGGCGGUUCCGUAAGUCGUGAAGUCAAAUCUCUGGGCUCAACCCAGAAUCGCUUCCGAUACUGCGGUGACUGGAGUCCGGUAGGGGAGUGUGGAAUUCCUGGUGUAGCGGUGAAAUGCGCAGAUAUCAGGAGGAACACCAACAGCGAAGGCAGCACUCUGGGCCGGUACUGACGCUGAGGCGCGAAAGCCAGGGGAGCGAACGGG